Herpailurus yagouaroundi (jaguarundi) is the source of this 5276-nucleotide RNA transcript. It is a transcript of the gene named coiled-coil domain containing 15, with no coding region annotated. The transcript is spliced from 18 exons. The record is from RefSeq and is a predicted model, not a curated record. Lineage: Eukaryota; Metazoa; Chordata; Mammalia; Carnivora; Felidae.
CGCAAGACCGGAAGGGGCCGAUACAUGGCCACCCAAGGGCGGGGCCGGGCUGAGCGGGGCCCGGCGGCCCUCCCGAAAGUGGCGGUUUGCUGGAGGCGGUUACCUAGGAAUCCCGAGUAGUUUGAAUGUGUGGCGACCUGUGCACCGGUGCUUGGUCGGUGCUAUCUCAGCAGGAGUGGGACCCCCGAGGCCUAAGAAACAGGCUUUUAUCUGGCUCGGGACUCCCCGGCAUUCAUCGCUUCCCUCCAUAACCGGAUAGCAGUUAUUUGGACUCAGCCUCAGACCCAGGGGUCACAUGCCAGGAAGGAUGGCCCCCCUCAAGAAGCCUCGAAAUGCCGCAAGGUUGCCCCUGGCUUUAAACCCCCUGAAGAGCAAGGACGUGUUGGCAGUGCUGGCCGAAAGGAACCAGGCUAUAGUGCCAGUUGGGGCUUGGGUGGAACCUGCCUUGCCAGAUAGUUCGGAAGUCCCAGCAUAUACUUCAGCAUAUAUGAUUGAAGAAGAACUAAAGGAACAACUAAGAAAAAAACAAGAAGCUCUGAAGCAUUUUCAGAGACAAGUCAAACGCCGAGUAAAUCAACAAAUCAGGUUGCGAAAAAAGCAUCAGCUUCAGAGAUCUUAUGAAGCAGCAGAAAAAGAAGGCUCUAUAGCCAUGCAGUCCUCAGAUCCAACACAUUUAACUCCUAAAAGAACAAGUGUUUUUCCAAAGAACUUGAAUGCUGCAAUUGGAAGUGCUAGGUUACCUCCUUCCCAGGUGCUGGGGGAUGGACUAGAAGAUAGAGAGAAUCAGAAUGAAUUACUCCAACAACAAGCCCAGGCUCUUAGUCAAACCAUGAAACAGGCUCGUCACCGACUGGCAUCAUUUAAGACUGUGAACAAAAAAAAUGUGUCAGUGUUUCCAGAUGGUAGAAGAAAAACCUUUCCCCACCGAGAGGAACCUGACUCUGAGGAAUCUUCAUCUAUUUUGAUAGAUAAAAAAGGGAGAGAAAAUUUGUUUUGGGGAGACCAACAGGAUCUCCUUUCUGAAGACAGGGACAAACCUUUCAGCAGAGUUCAGAAAGCACAAUUCAAAAAUCCAUUAUUUGCUGUGAUGAAAGAGGAAGAGCAAAAGCAGUUAGAUCUUCAAGGCCUUCAGGAUAUUCUUCCAGAAGCCCAGGAUUAUCUUCCAGAAGCCCAAGGUGAUCUGCUGAAAAUCCAGGGUGAUUUGACAGGAGUCCAGAGUGUUGAGCUAGAAGCUAAGAGUAUUGAGCCAAGGCUCAGCACCCAGGUUGUUGAGGUGGAAGGCCAAGCCACUGAGCCUGAAGCCCAGGCUGUUGAGACUGAAAUCCAGACCGUUGAGCCUGAAGCCCAGGCCAUUGAGCCUGAAGCCCAGGCUAUUGAACCUGAAGCCCAGACCACUGAGCCUGAUGCCCAGGCUGUUAAGACAGAAACUCAGGAUAUUGUGCCAGAAGCCCAGAAUAUUGAACUAGAAGAUGGGAGUAUUGUGUCUGAAGUCCAAGAUUUGCUACCCGAAGAACAGUGUGUUCUUCCCACAGACCAGAAUGUUCUACUCAGAUGUCAGGACCAGGACUUUCUACCUAAAAACCAGGUUUUUCUACCCAAAGACCAGAAUAUUCUACCCAAAUGUCAGGACCAGCAUGUUCUCUCUGAAGACCAGAAUAUUCAGUCCAAAUUUCAGGACCAGGAUUUUCUACCCAGAGACCAACACCAGCAUUUUCUAUUCAGAGACCUGUGUGUUCUCCCCAGAGUACAGGAUUUUCCACCCAGAGAUCAGAAGGCAAAUUUGAAGCAGCCAGCAUCAAUUUUGACAGACAGGAGAGGGAGAGAGGUGUUUCCUCUGGAUGCCCAUCAGGAUCUUCUACACAGCAGUCAAGAUCAGACCUCCAUCAGGGACAAGAAAGUACGCUUCAAGGAGUCAUAUUCUGAUAUGUCAAGUGAGAAAGGGAGAGAAGGCUUUUCCCUGGCAAGUUAUCAGUACCUGCCUCCUAAACUCCAGGACUAUACCUUCAUCAGAGAUCAGAACAAGUGUCUCAAGCAACCUGCCUCUUUUGAGAAAUGGGAGAUUGAAAGAAGAAUUGUUUCUGGAGUGCCAUCGACCUUAUGCUUCAGGCAGCAGCCGUCUGUUGGGACAGCAGAAAGAUGGCAAGAGGAUUUGUUUCUGGAUGGCCAUCAGCAACUUCCACCCAAGCACCAGAGAGAGGCUUCCAGCAGAAGACAGGUGUAUGGUGAAUGUCAGUCAAGAUUGAACACCGAAUUCCAAGUUCCACUGGCACUUCAGUCUGGAGUAGAUCAAGAAGAAGACAAGAAAGAGCGUCAAAAGCAAUACCUGCGAUACAGACGACUUUUCAUGGAUAUUGAAAGAGAACAAGUAAAAGAACAACAAAGGCAAAAAGAACAUCAAAAGAAAGCUGAAAAAAUUAAAAAAAAGAAAGAGCAGCAACGUUACGCUGAGGAGCAGAGGAUACUAAGAAUGAACUUCCAUGAAGAGCCAUGUUCAGGAGAGAAGAUGAGUGAGAAAAUAGCCCAGCUACAGCUUGAGGAAGUAAAAGGAGCCAGAGAAAAACAACAACAGAGAGAGAAGGAAUGCCAAAGAUAUACGGAAGCUCUAAGAGCCCAGAUCCAGGAGAAAAUGCAGCUGUAUAAUAUUACUUUACCUCCACUAUGCUGUUGUGGUCCUGAUUUUUGGGAUGCGCAUCCUGAUACCUGUGCCAACAAUUGUAUUUUCUAUAAAAACCCUAGAGCAUAUACCCGGGCACUACAUUCGGUCAUCAACUCCUGUGAUAUCCCUGUGGGGAGCUCAGCUCUUCGAGUCGCCAUGCAUAAUUUGGUUUCUGCACACAGACGGACUUUGAAAAAUGUGUAAUGAGAAUCUGAAUCCAACUAGAGAUGUCAAGUGAGAAGUUGCUGCGAUCAAGGUCAAAGAGGUUGCUGCCUGUUUUCUCCUGUAGGAUUUUGGUGAUCUCCUGUCAACAUUUGGAAUUAGCAAGCUGAGAACUACUGGAAGGAACUUAAAAGUUGAUGAACAGCUGCCUCCCCCUCCGACCCCCCAACACUUGUCUGGUUACAAAACUUUUAAAAAAUAAUUACAGAUAUACAGGAAGUUGUAAAAGUAGUUCAGAUAGGUUCUAUGUAGGCUUCACCUGGUUUCCCCCAAUGGUUAUAUUUUAUGUAACUAUAGUAUAAUAUCAAAACCAGAAAGUUGACAUUGGUACAAUAUGUAUGUAUAGUUUUAUGUGUGCCAUUUCCACCUGUGUAGAUUUGUGUCAAUACCACCACAGUCAAGAUGCAAAAUUAUUCCAUCACCACAAAGAUCUCCUCUUACUACCCCUGUAGUCACACUCGCACACCCCUCCCGUUUACCACCAUCUCUAACCCCCGGCUACCACUAAUCCAUUUCCAUCUCCAUAAUUUUGUCAUUUCGAGAACAUUAGAUAAGUGGAAUCAUAUAGCAAGUGGUCAUUUGAGAUUAAUUUUUUUUCUUUCAGCUUAAUGACACCAAGAUCCAUCCAAGUUGCUGUGUGUACCAAUAGCUUGUUCCCUUUAUUGUUGAAUUGUGUCCCGUGGUAUGGGGACCACAGUUUGUUUAACCCCUCAUUCAUUGAGGGACAUUUUGGUUGUUUCUAGUAUUUUGCCAUUACAGAUAAGGCUGCUGUGACAUUUGUGUACAGGUUUGUGUGGACAGAAGAUUUCACUUAUCUGAGAUAAAUGCCCAGAGUAUCACUAAUGGACUGUAUGGUAAGUGAAUGUUUAGUUUUUUAAGAAAGGGAUAGCAUGCAGUUGGGUUCUGGUUUUAAUACUUUUUGUCAGGUGGGUGGUUGAAACCCAGCUUUCUUCUUGGCCUCCAUUGAUACCCUUUGGUGGGGGUUGGGGAAGGACACCUCAUUACUGCUUGGUUAGUGGGAGUUCUGGCUCUCUGCUGACAUCACCCUGCCUGGGAUCGGGAGGGUGCCUCCUUACUGAUCCCCACAUGUCCUCCACUAACACCAUGGUGUUAGGGGCUAGGUGCUCAUUACCACUGGAAGCUGGUGAAAGUUCUGGCCUCCCAUUCGUAGUUUCCUUACACCACCCUGACUGUGGGGCUGGGGGGAUACCUCGUUACAGCCAGGCCCAAAUGGAUGUUGAGGCUCCCUGCUUUGCCUUUGCUGGUAGGAGUGGGAAGGGGCUGCGAUGUUUUCUGUGGUGUUUGGUGGGAGUAGGGUGGCUAUUGCUAGACUACCCCCAUCUGGAUCCUUUAACUAGAUAUAGCUGGCUUUUCUUUUUUUCUUUUUCUUUGUGCUGUUGGCUCUUCCAGAUGGCUGGCUUCUCCAACAUCCAGUUCAGAUAGAUGAAGCAAAAAGCAAACACAGACAAAUCACUGCUGUGUCUCUCCUCAGAUCUUUUCCUAGCUCAUCCAGAGUCAUGUAUAUGUUGCUAUAUAUAUAUAUAAUGCCCAGGGUUUUCAGCAUUUAGUGAGAGUAGGGAGAAUUGAGUCUAUUCCAUCUUGAUCCAGAACGAGAAAUCUCACAAAGAGCUUUCAAGUGGCCAUUUCUCCUCUAAGGACAUAAAUCCGAUCAUGUCUCAACCCUCCUUAAAAACCUCCUCAUCAUAUCCUGUCCAAAGGCUAAAAUCCCAAGCCCUUAACAUGGACUUUCAAGGCUCGUCAGUAUCUUACAACCAGGUAUAACAGUCCUAACUUCUGCAGCUCCACACUUUGGACAUGCCACCCUCCAGCUACAUGGAUUUCACAUGCACCACUUAAAUAUAUCUAUCUUGCUUUUUUGUGCUUCCUUGUUGAGCACACACUAGUGCCUGUGCACUCUGCUGCUCCUGUCUCCUCUUGUCUACUUGGCAGUCACCUAGCUGUACUUCAGUUCUGCUUCUUGUAUUACCUGCUGUGAAGCCUUUCAAGACUUUCCCAGUUAUCUGACCCUUUCUCAGUGCCACCAUAGCAGAAUGAACAUAAUCCUACAAGCUAUUUCUUAUUUGAACUGAUUUGUUCUACUGGAGCUCUUUGAGGUGGAAUUGUGUCUCUAUCCAUCUCUGUCCCAUUCAACUGUAAAUCCUUUGAGGGUAGGGGCAGUACCUGUCCUAUUUAUCAAUGUAUCUCUAGCAGAGUGCUGUGCCUGGCACAUAGUCAACACUUAACAAGUGUUUAUUAAAUGAAUAGAUGAGUGACUUGUUACUUCCAGAUACCAGAGCAGCCAAAAAUUGUCCUCAGCUUGCAUGACUAGGCUGCCUGAGGCCACCUCACUUUUGUCAUUACCAUAUAUAUUUUUUUAUUUCUGCACACAUACCCCCCC